Molecule: long non-coding RNA, 423 nt
Filed under: Mytilus galloprovincialis (Mediterranean mussel)
Lineage: Eukaryota; Metazoa; Mollusca; Bivalvia; Mytilida; Mytilidae
Source: RNAcentral
GUUGGGGCAAGUAUGGACACAACAUUCAAGCUGGAUUCAGCUCUAAAUUUGGAUUGUGAUUAAAUAGUUGACACAGCAUAGGUUUCUGACACAGAAUGAAUGUGGUCUAAUGAACUUAAAUUUUUGUUUUGCCUUUGAGCAAUUCACUAUGCUGUUGAAUAUUAAUCCUCUCAAAAAAAUGUUUGAAGAAAUUUUCUUUUUAUUUAUGAAAUCUGAAAUGAGAAAAAUUUACCCCCCCCCCCCCAAUUUUUUUUUCACAUCCCCCUUUCCCUUAUUCCAAAACUGAUCUCAAUUCAAAUUUCUAAUGGAGUUUGCAACAAUAACUACUCAUUUAAAUACAUCAUAAAAUAUUAAAAUGUAAAAAAAGUGCUUGUUAUCACUGAAUGGUAAAGAUUGUUUUAAUUUAUCAGUUGGUAGUAAAAG